Molecule: ribosomal RNA, 838 nt
Filed under: Actinomyces sp. oral taxon 525
Lineage: Bacteria; Bacillati; Actinomycetota; Actinomycetes; Actinomycetales; Actinomycetaceae
Description: bacterial SSU rRNA
Rfam family: Bacterial small subunit ribosomal RNA
Source: RNAcentral
GACGAACGCUGGGCGGCGUGCUUAACACAUGCAAGUCGAACGGGCCCGCGCCUUUUUUUGGGGGCGGGUUGAGUGGCGAACGGGUGAGUAUCACGUGAGUAACCUGCCCUCCUCUCCUGGAUAACCGCUUGAGAGGGCGGCUAAUACGGGGUGGUCCGGUUGGUCCGCAUGGGCCGGCUGGGAUAGUUUCAUCUUCGGGUGUUUCGGUGGGGGAUGGGCUCGCGGCCUAUCAGCUUGUUGGUGGGGUGAUGGCCCACCAAGGCGGUGACGGGUAGCCGGCCUGAGAGGGUGGGCGGCCACACUGGGACUGAGACACGGCCCAGACUCCUGCGGGAGGCAGCAGUGGGGGGUAUUGCACAAUGGGCGGAAGCCUGAUGCAGCGACGUCGCGUGAGGGAUGGAGGCCUUCGGGUUGUGAACCUCUGUUCCCGGUUGGUGGUGGUUGUUGACGGUAACCGGGUAUGAAGCGCCGGCUAACUACUGCCACAGCCGCGGUAAUACGUAGGGCCCAGCGUUGUCCGGAAUUAUUGGGCGUAAAGGGCUUGUAGGCGGCGGCCGGUCCGUCGUGAAAUCCUCCGGCUCAACCGGGGGCUUGCGGUGGGUACGGUCGGCUGGAGUGCGGCGGGUGAGGCUGGAACUCCUGGUGUAGCGGUGGAAUGCGCAGAUAUCAGGAGGAACACCGGUGGCGAAGCGGGUCUCUGGGCCGUUACUGACGCUGAGGAGCGAAAGCGUGGAGCGAACAGGAUUAGAUACCCUGGUAGUCCCGCCGUAAACGUUGGGCACUAGUGUGGGGCGUUCCCGUUCGAGGGGGCUCCGCGCCGUAGCUAACGCAUUAAGUG